CAUCUGUGUUUUUCAUAUACAUAUUUAAUAUUUAGUUUCACAUACAUAUUAGUUUGUAAUUAUGUUUCAAUUUAACAUUGUGAAUAACAACCUUAAAGCCAUGUACAUGUGCUUUGAUAACUGUGCUUCAACUGCAUUGAUUUAAGAAGAAUGUAACAAAAAAUAUGUAGAUUUACUGUCAAAUUUCCUUUUAACUUCAGUGUAUUUGCACUUCUUGUUAGACAAAUGCUUAUAAUAGAUGGCAAAGUUCCAAAGUUUAACAAUAAUAUAAAACGGCUAUAUAGUUUUUUUUCACUUCAGCAAAACUUCUUUGUAAAAAUAACAUGAUUUUAUAUUCAUUUAUCCUAUUCUUAACUUGCUUAUUUUAAAUGUGUAUGUGAUAUGCCAGAAGACUAUGAUGGUGAACAACUAGUUAAAAAAAAUAAAAAGACCACAGGUGCUUCCUACCCUACGAUACAGAUGUAGUGGGGUUUUCUCAGAUGAAAUAAUUCACCUUUGUUAAAAGUGAUGAUGUCGGACACAAAUGAUGGAGGCAGCAAUUUAACGAUCUUCAUUCUCUGCUUCAUCCUGGUCGUCCUUGUUCUUCUCCUGUUGUACCUCUACAAGCGACUGAACAAUGAAACAAAGGAUGAAUAUACCAUCCAGCGGCUUGUCUUCAGUGAGGGAGGCCUUCGUGAUCGUGUGAGGCAAGGCAUUGCAGAGGUCCAGACCAGGAUAGGUGACCUGCAUAAGGUCUCAACCCCUUGAUGAAGAGCAAGCUUUGAGCAAUAAUGAAGAUGGGAAUAGUGGCAGAGAAGAAGAACGAGACGAAGAAGAAGAUGCAGGACAAGGUCAAAGGGAAAAUGAGAACAAGACAGAAGAGAAAGAAGAGGAACAUCAAGAUCAUGAUUCAUCAGACGACUAUUCCAGCAUUGACCUAAGGGAGAGAGUAAAGCAGAAUAACAGCAAUGAAGAGGAAAUGAAAGAAGAUGAACAAGAGAAACAAGAGGUGGCAAAAGAUGAAGGAAAAAGAGAUGACAAUAAACAAGAGGAAGAUGUGAAGAAUGAAGAAAGGGUUGGCUUACUUGUAGACUUGAAGGCAUUCUCUGGCAGUGCCAUUUGGUCUGAGGAGAAAAAGGAAGAGACUAAUGUGACAGCUUUGUGAAAUAUAGAAGGCUUUAGCCUAAAUAUGAGGCUCAUUAGAAGAAAAGUCUAGACUUGACGAUGUUUGUCUUGCGAUGAGUGAUUUACCUUUGUCAUUCUUAAAAACCUGAUGCAUCCAUAAUAUCCAUAAGAUAGUUUAUUAUUUUUCUUAUCCAUGGCUUAUUUUAUUAGCAUGUUUUCUGUAAUGGCUGACUUUUUUGUUAUUAGAAUAUUUUUUUCAUAAAAACUGUACAUUUACUUCAAAAUAAAUACCAUUAAAUCAUUCAUUUUGAUUUUUUUUUUAAUGCUAUGAAGCUUCAGACUAAAAUAAAGGCCUAGCGUUUAGCCAUAUUAUUCCCCAAAUGGAAACUGAAUACACGACCAUCUCUUGUUAAUGUUGAUCAGUUUAUUUGCUUGCUUUUGUGCCACACAACAUAUGAACAACGCACAAUAAAAUACAUGCAUGUAGUAUGAUAGAAUAUAAUAGGAUCAACUAUUUAUUGAUGUCAGUAAGCUAUACGGUCGAUGAAAAUAAAAACACCAUUUUAAAAAUUGCAGUGUGUAUUGCAAAUAUGUCACAAAA
Molecule: long non-coding RNA, 1705 nt
Organism: Ictalurus punctatus (channel catfish)
Lineage: Eukaryota; Metazoa; Chordata; Actinopteri; Siluriformes; Ictaluridae
Source: Ensembl